UGAACUUUAGUGAUUAAGGACUCUAAAAGU
RNAcentral lists this non-coding RNA (30 nucleotides) under Rattus norvegicus (Norway rat). The record is from RNAcentral. Lineage: Eukaryota; Metazoa; Chordata; Mammalia; Rodentia; Muridae.